Molecule: ribosomal RNA, 793 nt
Filed under: uncultured Pelagibacteraceae bacterium
Lineage: Bacteria; Pseudomonadati; Pseudomonadota; Alphaproteobacteria; Candidatus Pelagibacterales; Candidatus Pelagibacteraceae
Description: bacterial SSU rRNA
Rfam family: Bacterial small subunit ribosomal RNA
Source: RNAcentral
CUGGCGGCACGCCUAAUACAUGCAAGUCGAACGAGGUAGCAAUACCUAGUGGCAGACGGGUGAGUAACAUGUGGGUACCUUCCCUUUGGUGAGGAAUAACACGAGGAAACUUGUGCUAAUACCUCAUAAGUCUUUACGGAGAAAGCUUUAUGCGCCAAUGGAUGGGCCCGCACUUGAUUAGUUAGUUGGUAGGGUAAUGGCCUACCAAGACUUUGAUCAAUAGCUGAUUUGAGAGGAUGAUCAGCCACAUUGGGACUGAGACACGGCCCAAACUCCUACGGGAGGCAGCAGUAGGGAAUCUUGCACAAUGGAGGAAACUCUGAUGCAGCGAUGCCGCGUGAGUGAAGAAGGCCUUUGGGUUGUAAAGCUCUUUCGUCGGGGAAGAAAAUGACUGUACCCGAAUAAGAAGGUCCGGCUAACUUCGUGCCAGCAGCCGCGGUAAUACGAAGGGACCUAGCGUAGUUCGGAAUUACUGGGCUUAAAGAGUUCGUAGGUGGUUAAAAAAGUUGGUGGUGAAAUCCCAGAGCUUAACUCUGGAACUGCCAUCAAAACUUUUUAGCUAGAGUAUGAUAGAGGAAAGCAGAAUUUCUAGUGUAGAGGUGAAAUUCGUAGAUAUUAGAAAGAAUACCAAUUGCGAAGGCAGCUUUCUGGAUCAUUACUGACACUGAGGAACGAAAGCAUGGGUAGCGAAGAGGAUUAGAUACCCUCGUAGUCCAUGCCGUAAACGAUGUGUGUUAGAUGUUGGAAAUUUAUUUUCAGUAUCGCAGCGAAAGCAUUAAACACACCGCCUGGG